UACAGAGGUCUCAAGCGUUGUUCGGAAUCACUGGGCGUAAAGGGCGCGUAGGCGGCCCGCUAAGUCGAACGUGAAAUCCCCGAGCUCAACUCGGGAACUGCGUCCGAUACUGGCGGGCUUGAAUCCGGGAGAGGGAUGCGGAAUUCCAGGUGUAGCGGUGAAAUGCGUAGAUAUCUGGAGGAACACCGGUGGCGAAGGCGGCAUCCUGGACCGGCAUUGACGCUGAGGCGCGAAAGCUAGGGGAGCAAACGGG
RNAcentral lists this ribosomal RNA (253 nucleotides) under uncultured bacterium. RNAcentral's name for it is "partial 16S ribosomal RNA". It matches the Rfam family "Bacterial small subunit ribosomal RNA", at positions 524 to 776 of the family's 1533-position model. The record is from RNAcentral.